Molecule: transfer RNA, 90 nt
Filed under: Candidatus Campbellbacteria bacterium CG11_big_fil_rev_8_21_14_0_20_44_21
Lineage: Bacteria; Candidatus Campbelliibacteriota
Description: tRNA-Ser
Rfam family: tRNA
About the family: Transfer RNA (tRNA) molecules are approximately 80 nucleotides in length. Their secondary structure includes four short double-helical elements and three loops (D, anti-codon, and T loops). Further hydrogen bonds mediate the characteristic L-shaped molecular structure. tRNAs have two regions of fundamental functional importance: the anti-codon, which is responsible for specific mRNA codon recognition, and the 3' end, to which the tRNAs corresponding amino acid is attached (by aminoacyl-tRNA synthetases). tRNAs cope with the degeneracy of the genetic code in two manners: having more than one tRNA (with a specific anti-codon) for a particular amino acid; and 'wobble' base-pairing, i.e. permitting non-standard base-pairing at the 3rd anti-codon position.
Source: RNAcentral
GGUAGGUUGGCUGAGUGGCCGAAAGCGGCGCCGUGCUAAGGCGUUAGGGGGGCAACCCCCUCGUGGGUUCGAAUCCCACACCUACCGCCA